AGGGAAUCUUCCGCAAUGGGCGAAAGCCUGACGGAGCAACGCCGCGUGAGUGAUGAAGGUCUUCGGAUCGUAAAACUCUGUUAUUAGGGAAGAACAAAUGUGUAAGUAACUGUGCACGUCUUGACGGUACCUAAUCAGAAAGCCACGGCUAACUACGUGCCAGCAGCCGCGGUAAUACGUAGGUGGCAAGCGUUAUCCGGAAUUAUUGGGCGUAAAGCGCGCGUAAGCGGUUUCUUAAGUCUGAUGUGAAAGCCCACGGCUCAACCGUGGAGGGUCAUUGGAAACUGGGAAACUUGAGUGCAGAAGAGGAAAGUGGAAUUCCAUGUGUAGCGGUGAAAUGCGCAGAGAUAUGGAGGAACACCAGUGGCGAAGGCGACUUUCUGGUCUGUAACUGACGCUGAUGUGCGAAAGCGUGGGGAUCAAACAGGAUUAGAUACCCUGGUAGUCCACGCCGUAAACGAUGAGUGCUAAGUGUUAGGGGGUUUCCGCCCCUUAGUGCUGCAGCUAACGCAUUAAGCACUCCGCCUGGGGAGUACGACCGCAAGGUUG
RNAcentral lists this ribosomal RNA (549 nucleotides) under uncultured bacterium. RNAcentral's name for it is "bacterial SSU rRNA". It matches the Rfam family "Bacterial small subunit ribosomal RNA", at positions 356 to 896 of the family's 1533-position model. The record is from RNAcentral.